CCUACGGGGGGCAGCAGUGGGGAAUAUUGCACAAUGGGCGAAAGCCUGAUGCAGCAACGCCGCGUGAGCGAUGAAGGCCUUCGGGUCGUAAAGCUCUGUCCUCAAGGAAGAUAAUGACGGUACUUGAGGAGGAAGCCCCGGCUAACUACGUGCCAGCAGCCGCGGUAAUACGUAGGGGGCUAGCGUUAUCCGGAAUUACUGGGCGUAAAGGGUGCGUAGGUGGUUUCUUAAGUCAGAGGUGAAAGGCUACGGCUCAACCGUAGUAAGCCUUUGAAACUGGGAAACUUGAGUGCAGGAGAGGAGAGUGGAAUUCCUAGUGUAGCGGUGAAAUGCGUAGAUAUUAGGAGGAACACCAGUUGCGAAGGCGGCUCUCUGGACUGUAACUGACACUGAGGCACGAAAGCGUGGGGAGCAAACAGGAUUAGAUACCCCCGUAGUC
RNAcentral lists this ribosomal RNA (439 nucleotides) under uncultured bacterium. Its description in RNAcentral is "bacterial SSU rRNA". It matches the Rfam family "Bacterial small subunit ribosomal RNA", at positions 338 to 795 of the family's 1533-position model. The record is from RNAcentral.